AUUUAUAUAGUUUAUUUAAAACAAUAUAUUUUCAAUAUAUAAAAAAUUAUUUUUUAAUUUAUAAAUU
This 67-nucleotide transfer RNA is filed under the name Ceratobaeus sp. M145. RNAcentral describes it as "tRNA-Glu". The record is from RNAcentral. Lineage: Eukaryota; Metazoa; Arthropoda; Insecta; Hymenoptera; Scelionidae.